This 60-nucleotide transfer RNA is filed under the name Lagostrophus fasciatus (banded hare-wallaby). RNAcentral's name for it is "transfer RNA-Lys". Lineage: Eukaryota; Metazoa; Chordata; Mammalia; Diprotodontia; Macropodidae. The record is from RNAcentral.
CCUUUUUGAGAAACCCAUGUGAUACUAUAAGUAUACUAGGAUCUAAAAACCCUCAAAACC